CUCUGCCGAGCACUAUUCCGCGAUUGCUCCUCUGGCAACGUAAGCGCAUUCUACGGUUCACUGGCUCGCAGUUUUGAUCGCUCCCUUUCCCUCCGUUUUGCGGAGCUCAGCAGCAAGCUGCAAGCUUGAUGGGGCCGUGUGGUCGGGUCGGCAUCAUCUUUUUCCCCACGAACAGCUUCAGAUUGCAGAGAGAUCGAUUACUCUCCUGGGAGGAAGACUGAAUGGCAACCGGAUUGUAAUUGUAGGAAUAAUGAUGAACAUGACAAGCAAGAUGAUUCAUAUCAGAAGCAGUCCGAAUCGUGAUCAGAUCUCUGGUGAUUUUUGAUUUGAUUGAAGUUGUAUAUAUAUACAACCAUACAUGAAUCAAAAGUGAAAUCUGUUGUUCUUGC
This is a long non-coding RNA of Selaginella moellendorffii, 389 nucleotides long. RefSeq lists it as uncharacterized. NCBI's taxonomy places the organism in Eukaryota, Viridiplantae, Streptophyta, Lycopodiopsida, Selaginellales, Selaginellaceae. The transcript has 3 exons. The record is from RefSeq and is a predicted model, not a curated record.